AAUAGCCAAUAUCCUCCUGAUGGUGGCGAUGCAUACCGCACUAGUUCCGCGAGUGGAAGAGAGAAAUCUCGAGUGCCGAAGGAUGGCGUCCCGAUGAUUCGAUCCAAGUCUAGGGUUUUGGAUGGUUUUUGCUGAUUGUUUUUCCUUGUCCCAGUGGACUAGAAUUGUUGUCGUGAAGUGAAAGAAGGAAUAUUGAAGGGCUUUCGCCGGUGUUGACGUCUUCCAAGAAGCGGAUUGGAGUAGUUCUUGAUGGAACAAGAAGCAUGCUUUUAGUGUUUUUUGCUUGCCGAUGGUUGAUGAGAUGUCUUUGUAUGUGAGCCAUCUCUCUCCUCAUGUUCGACGAGAAGAACUUGAACGGGUUUUUCGGAGGUUUGGUCGGUGUAGCGUACAACUGAAAGAUGGAUAUGGAUUUGCAGUCUAUGAAUAUACGGCGAAUGCAGAGAGAGCUUUGCGAGCGCUGCAAGGCAAGAACAUUUGUGGGGAGCACAUAUCUCUUAAUUGGUCAAACAGGCAGCCUAGGCCUCCUCAAAUAUCUGCAAGGAGCACCAGAUUUUAUGAACCCUAUCGUGGAUGGAACUUCGGGGAAGACAAUGAUAGUAUCGGGAUCAGGGGUUCUCGAGAUCAAAGGGAUUUUUCUACUGGUGCAGCUCGUGUCCCAAAUAAUCAUGGACAGCAUCAAUUGGAUAUGACACCCAAAGAAGCUGGUAAUGUGCACGAUAUUAAUGAUAUCGAAGGGGAUAAAGGUGUAAAUACGAAUGAGGGAGUAAUGAAUGAAGGUGGUACAAUUGAUCUAAAUCCCUUGGAGAAUGAUCGAUGGGGUGAACCUAUUCAUGAUACAUUGGCCGGUAAUGGAGUUGAGAAUGGAGAUGAUUUUGACCGCUAUGAACCUUACCAUGGUUACAAUAGAAGCAAUGAUAAUGGAAAUGUUCAGAUAGAUAGCUCUUAUGGCUCUCCAGACCGAGGAAGUUCCAAGGAGAGAAGAUGGAUAGAGCAAUCUGUUGGCGAUGAUACUCAUAGGAACUGUGAUAAAUCAAAAACUCAGCAGACCUGCUAUAACUGUGGACUGGUUGGUCACAUAAUGCGUAACUGCCCUCAAGGGGAUGCUCGACGAGAGGAGUUUGGCAAGUUCAACUGCAAGAGAGAUGAAAUAAAUUGCCUAGAUAAAGGGGAGGGAAGGCUGAAGUGGUUCAGACCCAAUUCAUGGGGAAGGUCAGAUUUUAGUAGAGAUCCUUUGAUAUCAAGGCACCAUAUGCAGGUACGAAAGGAACCUCAUCCUGAUAAAGCUAGAAGAGCAUUCAGGGCAGGGGACACCUCUCUAGAACUUAGGGAAGAACGACGUUCCAAGCUCAGAAGUAAUUCUCAGGCAAAGAAAAGGAGCAAGCUGGAACAUGAAGCCCCCAAAAAAGUUGUGAAAAGAAGUAGAAGAAGACGAAGGAGAUCUCGUACCUCAUCACUUUCUUCUGAUUCUUCUACAACUAGCUCGCAAUCACAUUCACGGUCCCAAAAAUCCAUAUCCAAUACUUGCUGCUCUUCACGCUCAAGGUCUGCAUCUUCUCAGUCUCAAUCGGCAUCUUCUAUUUCAAGAUCUGCUUCUUUGUCACCCUAUUCUAAAUCUGUAAGUUCUAGAUCCAGAUCAAGGUCAAGGUCGAGCUUUCCGAGAUCAUUGUCUUUAUCUGUCUCAUUGGAACGGAAAUCUACUCCUUCCCCAAAGAACAACCAAAUUGAUGUUUGCAUGAAUACCUCUCCAAAGGGCAAUGUGAAGACUCUGACAAGCCCUGAGUCCAAGCAUUUAGAGAAUGCCAAACCAAAAGUUACAUGUUCAACAGUUGAUGAUGAAAAUGCAAUCACUCCAUGCAAGGCAGAUAAUGAGAUUAAUGGUGAACAUAUUGGACAUAAUGGUGAUGAUGUAAAAUAUUCUGCAUUUGUGGCUCAUUACAAUGAAACCAAUGCAUGCACAGAUCUGCAUAAAUAUGCCGUUGUUACUAAUGAGAAUCAUGAACAGAACAAUGACUCACAGGAAGCUUCAUUUGUAAAGCUGAAUAGGCAUAUUCCCUCUGAAUGUGAGACUAGCAAGUCUAGAAGAAUACCAACACAGGAAAUGUUCUUGGUCCUGCGACAUUAUGGACUGGCAGCACCAGAAGAGGGUUGUCCUGAUAUUUCCAUAGAGGAAUACUUUGGUGCUGCUCACUUGUGGCCGUGGGAAAUGAUCUACUAUCUUCGUUCGAAGAAGGGUCCCAUUUCUACUGAGAACUAUGCGAGGCGACUUGAACAAAACAGGGAAUUUGGCAUUGUGGAUAAGUACAUCAGAAGCAGUAGUGGUUGGUGAGAAAGUCAAGAUGAUACAUGACAAAGUUCCCUGAUGCUGUCUUGUUCAUUUUUAAGAUGCACACGGAUUGGCAUUUUUGAUGAUGGCAAUGUUUUCAUGCUAAUUUUCUUCUAGAAUUUGCUGUCUUCUCCCAUGAUCAGAUGUUUGAGGAGAGAAUAGGGGGAAAGGAAAUCAAGUGUUCUCCAGUCUAGCUCCCAUCUUUUUGUCAGCCAGAUACCUUUGUAGAGUUCCUACGAAGAAGAGCUUAAGGGGCACAGAGCACUCAUCCAGCCGGCCAUCCACCUUUGUCUCCCUGUACAUCAAUUGAUGCUGAUAUUUGAUAAUUGAUGCAAUGUCAAGCUUAUGUUAUCAAUUUCUUUAUGCGGCACCUAGAUUUCUGGGAAAAAUGAAUGUUCCAGCUCAGUCCUUCAAGGGAAAUAGUUGGUGUUUCAUUUGUAUCUACUCUAGUUUGAAAGGAAGGAGGGGGAGGGGGCUUUAGAGUCAACAUCCCUUGGUGUAACAACUCUCAAACUCACAUCUUUGUUGCUUGCUAAACUUGUUUUCUAUUCUAUAUAUGAUAUGUCAACCUGUUUGUUGGUCAAUGAUGUCCGCACUUUCCAUUGGACGACUCUUAUGUCUCUGCCAGGGGCCAACUCAGGCGUGGAAGCAUCCAAUUGGGGCACGAGCAAUUUGCCAAUAAUGAAUCCAGGGGACUUGUUUACGACUUUGGGAAUUCUCUCUUUCCCCUUUUCAUUUGCUGCUUAAAAGUUUUCCGAGGGAGGAGCAAAGCGCAAGCUCGAGGUGCCGAGGCAUGGAAAAAGAAGAAGAAGAAGAAGAAGAAGAAGAAAUCGGUGCAUCGAAGACCAAUUGCAUUUAGUGGGUGCCAUGAUGGCGUGUUGGAUGUAUUCAAAGGGCAGUAAAGGGUGAAGAGGAAAGAGAGGGAGGUGAGGAGGGUGGAAAUAAAUUGGUAUUUAUCACCUGACGUAAUCCCACCAUUAUUCUCAACCGUCUCAAUUACUCUUGCAUUAAAUUGUUUUUUAUGGUAUUUCAAUCCAAAAUAGUCUUCCAUUUC
This is a non-coding RNA of Phoenix dactylifera (date palm), 3377 nucleotides long. Lineage: Eukaryota; Viridiplantae; Streptophyta; Magnoliopsida; Arecales; Arecaceae. The record is from RefSeq and is a predicted model, not a curated record.